AACGAACGCUGGCGGCAUGCCUAACACAUGCAAAUCGAACGAGACCUUCGGGUCUAGUGGCGCACGGGUGCGUAACGCGUGGGAACCUGCCUUUAGGUUCGGAAUAACUCAGAGAAAUUUGAGCUAAUACCGGAUGAUGUCUUCGGACCAAAGAUUUAUCGCCUUUAGAUGGGCCCGCGUUGGAUUAGCUAGUUGGUGGGGUAAAGGCCUACCAAGGCGACGAUCCAUAGCUGGUCUGAGAGGAUGAUCAGCCACACUGGGACUGAGACACGGCCCAGACUCCUACGGGAGGCAGCAGUGGGGAAUAUUGGACAAUGGGCGAAAGCCUGAUCCAGCAAUGCCGCGUGAGUGAUGAAGGCCUUAGGGUUGUAAAGCUCUUUUACCCGAGAUGAUAAUGACAGUAUCGGGAGAAUAAGCUCCGGCUAACUCCGUG
RNAcentral lists this ribosomal RNA (433 nucleotides) under uncultured bacterium. RNAcentral's name for it is "partial 16S ribosomal RNA". It matches the Rfam family "Bacterial small subunit ribosomal RNA", at positions 29 to 507 of the family's 1533-position model. The record is from RNAcentral.